AUGGUACGGUCGAAGGCUCAGUAGUAUCAAACGGUUGAUCCUGCCGUGAAUUACAUAAUAGUCCUUAAUUCGGGAACUAAAUUGGCCUGAAUUUCCAGUGUGUGAAGCUGGUUUUUUCUUUUUUUCUUUCUUUCUUUCUUUCACACUUGUCAGGUCAUCAGGUGUUCAAGCUACCAUCAAGUUAUUUGUGCGCCUGUAAAUUGUCUAAAAUGAAUGAACACUAUCUCUAUGAGGUUCUCUACCAUCAAGUUGUUUCGUUUGUUUAAUGAAAAAUAUGACUACAAUUUGGAAAUGUUGUGCUCUAUGAUAAUUAGAGCUAGAACAUGACCAUGUGUGGAAUGAUCGUGGAUUUGUUGUGCACUGGUUGCCUCUGUUGUUGAGAUGCGUGCUAUAUCAAAGGGCCAUGAAAUAGCUGAGAUAUGAUCCUACCAUGUGCUAAUUAAAUCCCAAAACCCAGUGCAAGCAACACAAUUAAGCCGAUCUAUAAAAGGCCUCCAGCCACUCAGUGAAAGCACCCAACAAAUACACAUCAUUCGCUAAAAAGAAAAUACA
This 552-nucleotide long non-coding RNA is filed under the name Brachypodium distachyon (stiff brome). Its description in RNAcentral is "long non-coding RNA (BDIS_LNC003632)". Lineage: Eukaryota; Viridiplantae; Streptophyta; Magnoliopsida; Poales; Poaceae. The record is from RNAcentral.